RNAcentral lists this ribosomal RNA (984 nucleotides) under human gut metagenome. RNAcentral describes it as "bacterial LSU rRNA". It matches the Rfam family "Bacterial large subunit ribosomal RNA", at positions 1942 to 2925 of the family's 2925-position model. The record is from RNAcentral.
AUAACGGUCCUAAGGUAGCGAAAUUCCUUGUCAGGUAAGUUCUGACCCGCACGAAUGGCGUAACGAUUUGGGCACUGUCUCAACAGCCCGCCCGGCGAAAUUGUUGUACUGGUGAAGAAGCCAGUUACCCGCAACUAGACGGAAAGACCCCAUGGAGCUUUACUGCAGCUUAAUACUGAAGAUUGGUAAUGCAUGUACAGGAUAGGUGGGAGCCUGAGAAACAGGGGCGUCAGCUUCUGCGGAGGCAGCCUUGGAAUACCACCCUUGUAUUGCUGGUUUUCUAACCUGCGGCCGUGAAUCCGGUCGGGGGACACUGUUAGGCGGGCAGUUUGACUGGGGCGGUCGCCUCCAAAAGAGUAACGGAGGCGCUCAAAGGUUCGUUCAGCACGGACGGAAAUCGUGCAUUGAGUGUAAACGCAUAAACGAGCCUAACUGCGAGACCGACGGGUCGAGCAGUAACGAAAGUUGGAGUUAGUGAUCCGGUGGUAUGUGAGUGGAAAUGCCAUCGCUCAACGGAUAAAAGCUACCCUGGGGAUAACAGGCUGAUCUCCCCCAAGCGUCCACAGCGACGGGGAGGUUUGGCACCUCGAUGUCGGCUCGUCACAUCCUGGGGCUGAAUUAGGUCCCAAGGGUUCGGCUGUUCGCCGAUUAAAGUGGCACGCGAGCUGGGUUCAGAACGUCGUGAGACAGUUCGGUCCCUAUCUGUUGCGGGCGCAGGAGAUUUGAAGGGAGCUGUCCCUAGUACGAGAGGACCAGGAUGGACAGACCUCUGGUGCACCAGUUGUCGUGCCAACGGCACAGCUGGGUAGCUACGUCUGGACGAGAUAAACGCUGAAGGCAUCUAAGCGUGAAACUCCCCCUAAGAUAAGAUCUCCCAUCCGAAAGGAGUAAGGGACGACGUGGACUAUGUCGUUGAUAGGCCGGAGGUGUAAGCACGGUAACGUGUUCAGCUGACCGGUACUAAUAACCCGAGGGCUUGACCUA